UACGGAGGGUGCGAGCGUUGUUCGGAAUUACUGGGCGUAAAGCGCGUGCAGGCGGUCGAUUAAGUCCGGUGUGAAAGCCCGGGGCUCACCCCCGGAAGUGCGCUGGAAACUGAUCAACUAGAGUACGGGAGAGGGAAGUGGAAUUCCUGGUGUAGCGGUGAAAUGCGUAGGUAUCAGGAGGAACACCGGCGGCGAAGGCGGCUUCCUGGACCGAUACUGACGCUGAGACGCGAAAGCGUGGGGAGCAAACAGG
RNAcentral lists this ribosomal RNA (253 nucleotides) under uncultured bacterium. RNAcentral's name for it is "partial 16S ribosomal RNA". It matches the Rfam family "Bacterial small subunit ribosomal RNA", at positions 524 to 776 of the family's 1533-position model. The record is from RNAcentral.